GGGCCGGUAGCUCAGCUGGGAGAGCGUCCGGCUUUUAACCGGACGGUCGCGGGUUCAAAUCCCGUCCGGCCCG
RNAcentral lists this transfer RNA (73 nucleotides) under uncultured archaeon A07HB70. It matches the Rfam family "tRNA". Rfam says of the family: Transfer RNA (tRNA) molecules are approximately 80 nucleotides in length. Their secondary structure includes four short double-helical elements and three loops (D, anti-codon, and T loops). The record is from Rfam by way of RNAcentral.